Molecule: ribosomal RNA, 274 nt
Filed under: uncultured bacterium
Lineage: Bacteria
Description: partial 16S ribosomal RNA
Rfam family: Bacterial small subunit ribosomal RNA
Source: RNAcentral
AUACGAAGGGGGCAAGCGUUGUUCGGAAUAACUGGGCGUAAAGCGCACGUAGGCGGAAUGUUAAGUUAGAGGUGAAAUCCCAGGGCUCAACCCUGGAACGGCCUUUAAUACUGGCAAUCUAGAGACCGAGAGAGGUGAGUGGAAUUCCGAGUGUAGAGGUGAAAUUCGUAGAUAUUCGGAGGAACACCAGUGGCGAAGGCGGCUCACUGGCUCGGUCCUGACGCUGAGGUGCGAAAGCGUGGGGAGCAAGCAGGAUUAGAUACCCUAGUAGUCC